GCCAGCAGCCGCGGUAAUACAGAGGGUGCAAGCGUUAAUCGGAAUUACUGGGCGUAAAGCGCGCGUAGGUGGUUUGUUAAGUUGGAUGUGAAAGCCCCGGGCUCAACCUGGGAACUGCAUCCAAAACUGGCAAGCUAGAGUACGGUAGAGGGUGGUGGAAUUUCCUGUGUAGCGGUGAAAUGCGUAGAUAUAGGAAGGAACACCAGUGGCGAAGGCGACCACCUGGACUGAUACUGAC
RNAcentral lists this ribosomal RNA (238 nucleotides) under Bacillus cereus. RNAcentral's name for it is "partial 16S ribosomal RNA". It matches the Rfam family "Bacterial small subunit ribosomal RNA", at positions 507 to 744 of the family's 1533-position model. The record is from RNAcentral. Lineage: Bacteria; Bacillati; Bacillota; Bacilli; Caryophanales; Bacillaceae.